RNAcentral lists this small RNA (615 nucleotides) under Pongo abelii (Sumatran orangutan). RNAcentral describes it as "processed transcript". The record is from RNAcentral. Lineage: Eukaryota; Metazoa; Chordata; Mammalia; Primates; Hominidae.
GCGGAAUUCUCCACGAGUUUUGAGCAGCGUCGGUUUUCCCACCACCUCCAAAUCAUGCAAGACACAGGGUGCAGGCAGAGCCCCCGGAGCCAUGGCCAGCCCUUCCGGCAGCUCCGAAGCCACUGGCAAGCCCCGAGGCAGGGAUGGCCGGCCCAGGAGGGAGGAGGACGACGUCCCUCCCGAGGAGAAGAGGCUGCGCCUGGGGCUGGAGGGGGGAAGCGCACAGCCCGAGGACUGCGAGGACGGGGAGGACGCGCCGCGGCCGGGCAGGGAGGAGACCGGCACCCAGACAGGUGGCGACGGCAGAGGAGUGCAGCGGCUCACAUUUGUAAUCCCAGCACUUUGGAGGCGAGGCUGCGGAUCACCUAAGGUCAGUAAUUCGAGACCAGCCUGGCCAACCUGGUGAAACUGUCUCUACUAAAAAUACAGAAAUUAGCCAGGUGUGAUGGCACACACCUGUAAUCCCAGCUACUUGGGAGGCUGAGGCAGGAGAAUCGUUUGAACCUGGGAGACAGAGGUUGCAGUCAGCCGAGAUCGCACCACUGCACUUCAGCCAGCCUGGGUGACAGGGCGAGACUCUCUUUCAAAAAUAAAUAAAUACAAUAGAAUUCUGAA